This is a long non-coding RNA of Podarcis raffonei (Aeolian wall lizard), 514 nucleotides long. RefSeq lists it as uncharacterized. The record is from RefSeq and is a predicted model, not a curated record. The transcript has 2 exons. Lineage: Eukaryota; Metazoa; Chordata; Lepidosauria; Squamata; Lacertidae.
CCAUUCCAUAUAUAACACACCUUGCUUGUCUCAGCCAAAUCGCACCCUCUUCAUCUCUAAGAAACAUGACAGAGCCCGGUUGACUUUCACUUUGAACACCUCAGUACUAGAACAGAUCACAUAGGAUGCAAAGAGACGCUACUUCAGCAGGAAGCAAUCACCCACCAAGAACUCAGCUGAUAUGCCUCAAUCCUUUUCUCCUUUCGCUGACCAUACCCCUGCUACUUUUGAACUCUUCACUGUUUCUCAAUCUGAUGCUGGGCCAAAUCAACAGGAAAGUGAAGAAAACCUAACUACGACCUUUUAAACUCAAGUUCCAUGUGGUUCAUGCAUUGUGCUGCAAGUUCCUCUUUCUCUCUCUUUUUAAAAUAAUUGUUAUUGGAAUUUUAUUUACAACAUAAACCCCCACCCACCCCAAUACACAAUCCACCCUCAUUAAACGUGAACAUAACAAACAGUGAGCAUAACAUACAACAAGACAAACAAUGAAAUAAAAGACUUCCUUUAUCCUGUA